RNAcentral lists this ribosomal RNA (450 nucleotides) under uncultured bacterium. RNAcentral describes it as "partial 16S ribosomal RNA". It matches the Rfam family "Bacterial small subunit ribosomal RNA", at positions 354 to 796 of the family's 1533-position model. The record is from RNAcentral.
GUAGGGAAUCUUCCACAAUGGACGCAAGUCUGAUGGAGCAACGCCGCGUGAGUGAAGAAGGUCUUCGGAUCGUAAAGCUCUGUUGUUGGUGAAGAAGGAUAGAGGCAGUAACUGGUCUUUAUUUGACGGUAAUCAACCAGAAAGUCACGGCUAACUACGUGCCAGCAGCCGCGGUAAUACGUAGGUGGCAAGCGUUGUCCGGAUUUAUUGGGCGUAAAGCGAGCGCAGGCGGAAUGAUAAGUCUGAUGUGAAAGCCCACGGCUCAACCGUGGAACUGCAUCGGAAACUGUCAUUCUUGAGUGCAGAAGAGGAGAGUGGAACUCCAUGUGUAGCGGUGGAAUGCGUAGAUAUAUGGAAGAACACCAGUGGCGAAGGCGGCUCUCUGGUCUGCAACUGACGCUGAGGCUCGAAAGCAUGGGUAGCGAACAGGAUUAGAAACCCGAGUAGUCC